UUCUUCAUUUUAGAUAAUGGAGGGAACUCUGAUCUAGCGACGCCGCGUGCAGGAAGAAGGUCUUCGGAUUGUAAACUGCUGUGGUAAGGGAAAAAUGCUAUGUAGAGUGGAAAGCUACAUAGAGGGAUGGUACCUUACUAGAAAGCCCCGGCUAACUACGUGCCAGCAGCCGCGGUAAUACGUAGGGGGCGAGCGUUACCCGGAAUCACUGGGCGUAAGGGGAGCGUAGGUGGCCUAACAUGUCAACUGUGAAAACCCGGAGCUCAACUCCGGACUUGCAGUUGAAACUGGUAGGCUUGAGGACGGUAGAGGAAGACGGAACUGCCAGUGUAGGGGUAAAAUCCUUAGAUAUUGGCAGGAACGCCGGUGACGAAGGUGGUUUUCUGGGCCGGUUCUGACACUGAUGCUCGAAAGCCAGGGGAGCGAACGG
This 430-nucleotide ribosomal RNA is filed under the name uncultured bacterium. RNAcentral describes it as "bacterial SSU rRNA". It matches the Rfam family "Bacterial small subunit ribosomal RNA", at positions 355 to 775 of the family's 1533-position model. The record is from RNAcentral.